CCUACGGGUGGCAGCAGUGGGGAAUAUUGCACAAUGGGGGAAACCCUGAUGCAGCGACGCCGCGUGAGUGAAGAAGUACUUCGUUAUGUAAAGCUCUAUCAGCAGGGAAGAAAAUGACGGUACCUGAGUAAGAAGCCCCGGCUAACUACGUGCCAGCAGCCGCGGUAAUACGUAGGGGGCAAGCGUUAUCCGGAUUUACUGGGUGUAAAGGGAGCGUAGACGGAAGUGCAAGUCUGGAGUGAAAGGCCGGGGCUCAACCCCGGAACUGCCAUUGUAACUGUGCAGCUGGAGUGCUGGAGAGGAUAGUGGAAUACCUAGUGUAGCGGUGAAAUGCGUAGAUAUUAGGUGGAACACCAGUGGCGAAGGCGGCUAACUGGACUGUAACUGACGUUGAGGCUCGAAAGCGUGGGGAGCAAACAGGAUUAGAUACCCCUGUAGUC
RNAcentral lists this ribosomal RNA (440 nucleotides) under uncultured bacterium. RNAcentral describes it as "partial 16S ribosomal RNA". It matches the Rfam family "Bacterial small subunit ribosomal RNA", at positions 338 to 795 of the family's 1533-position model. The record is from RNAcentral.